UGCGGUUAGUGAGAGUUUGGAGACCGUUUGGAGGUUUAUGAGAGUGAGGAAAGUCAGGAGAGAAUGGAGCCAGCUAAGAAGAGGAGGAUGUCCUCCCCUGUGAGGGAACAUUUUGAUUUUAUUCCUCCCAACAAGGUGAAGUGUUUGCUAUGUGCCAGGGAGCUGGGAUAUAACAACAACACCUCAUCCAUGCUUAGGCACUACAGAGCUUUGCAUGAGAAUAAGGGGAACACCGAUUGUGGAGCAAGACCAGGAGAACAAUCUCAAAUAGAUGAAGACCUGGUCAGCAUGGUGAUUGAGGACUCAC
Long non-coding RNA from Astatotilapia calliptera (eastern happy), 307 nucleotides. Lineage: Eukaryota; Metazoa; Chordata; Actinopteri; Cichliformes; Cichlidae. The record is from Ensembl.